RNAcentral lists this ribosomal RNA (253 nucleotides) under uncultured bacterium. RNAcentral's name for it is "partial 16S ribosomal RNA". It matches the Rfam family "Bacterial small subunit ribosomal RNA", at positions 524 to 776 of the family's 1533-position model. The record is from RNAcentral.
UACGUAGGGUGCAAGCGUUAAUCGGAAUUACUGGGCGUAAAGCGUGCGCAGGCGGUUUCGUAAGUCUGUCGUGAAAUCCCCGGGCUUAACCUGGGAAUGGCGAUGGAGACUGCAAGGCUAGAGUUUGGCAGAGGGGGGUAGAAUUCCACGUGUAGCAGUGAAAUGCGUAGAGAUGUGGAGGAACACCGAUGGCGAAGGCAGCCCCCUGGGUCAAAACUGACGCUCAUGCACGAAAGCGUGGGGAGCAAACAGG